This 127-nucleotide small RNA is filed under the name Marmota monax (woodchuck). The record is from RNAcentral. Lineage: Eukaryota; Metazoa; Chordata; Mammalia; Rodentia; Sciuridae.
GCUGGGUGUGGUGGCGCAUGCCUGUGAUCCCAGUGGCUUGGGAGGCUGAGGUAGGAGGGUCUUGAGUUCAAAACCAGCCUCAGCAACUUAGUGAGGGCCUGAGCAACUUGGUUAGACCCUGUCUCAA